GACGAACGCUGGCGGCGUGCUUAACACAUGCAAGUCGAACGGAAAGGCCUUUUCGGAGGUACUCGAGUGGCGAACGGGUGAGUAACACGUGGGUGAUCUGCCCUGCACUCUGGGAUAAGCCUGGGAAACUGGGUCUAAUACCGGAUAGGACCGCACUUUAGUGUGUGUGGUGGAAAGUUUUUUCGGUGUAGGAUGAGCCCGCGUCCUAUCAGCUUGUUGGUGGGGUAAUGGCCUACCAAGGCGGCGACGGGUAGCCGGACUGAGAGGUUGGUCGGCCACAUUGGGACUGAGAUACGGCCCAGACUCCUACGGGAGGCAGCAGUGGGGAAUAUUGCACAAUGGGCGCAAGCCUGAUGCAGCGACGCCGCGUGGGGGAUGACGGCCUUCGGGUUGUAAACUCCUUUCGCCAGGGACGAAGCGUUUUGUGACGGUACCUGGAGAAGAAGCACCGGCUAACUACGUG
This 463-nucleotide ribosomal RNA is filed under the name uncultured bacterium. RNAcentral's name for it is "partial 16S ribosomal RNA". It matches the Rfam family "Bacterial small subunit ribosomal RNA", at positions 28 to 507 of the family's 1533-position model. The record is from RNAcentral.